AUGACCAUCCAGAACCAUCCAGAACCAUCCAGAACCACCCAAAGGCCUCCAAGAACCUUUGGAACUCCUCCAGAACCAUCCAGAACCUCCGAAACCACUACAAGGACACCUCUGGAUCCAUUCCAACCUCUCCAGAACCUCCAGAACCGCUCCAAGGACCCCUCUGGAUCUCCUCCAGGACCACCCAGAACUUCUGGAACUUCUCCAGAGCCUCCAGAACUCCUCCAGAACCGCUCUGAGGACUCCUCUGGAUCUCCUCCAGAACUUCUGGAACUUCUCCAGAGCCUCCAGAACCGCUCUGAGGACUCCUCUGGAUCCCCUCCAGAACUUCUGGAACUUCUCCAGAACUCCUCCAGAACUCCUCCAGAACCUCCAGAACUGCUCCAAGGACCCCUCUGGAUCUCCUCCAGGACCACCCAGAACUUCUGGAACUUCUCCAGAACCUCCAGAACUCCUCCAGAACCUCCAGAACUGCUCCGAGGGCCCCUCUGGAUCUCCUCCAGAACUUCUGGAACUUCUCCAGAGCCUCCAGAACCUCCAGAACCACUCCAAGGACCCCUCUGGAUCCCCUCCAGAACCUUUGGAACUCCUCCGGAACCUCCAGAACCGCCCCGAGGGCCCCUCUGGAUCCCCCCAAGGCUUCCAGAACCAUCCGGAACCUCCAGCAGCAGCUCCAGGGACUCCCCCGGCGGCUCCGGGUGCAUUUUAAGCUUCACUCGCGUCUAUUUUUAAGCUCAGAUGGUUUCAAAGAUAUUUUUUUAAAACUCCUCGUCCACGGACGCCCCUCGGGAAUUUUCUUUGGGAAUUUCGGAUCCCCCCGAGCCUGCCCAUCCCAAAGGGGAUUUGAUUUAAUUUAAUUUAAUCUAAUUUAAUUUCAUUUUAUUUUAUUUUAUUUUAUUUUAUUUUAUUUUACUUUAUUUUAUUUUAUUUUAUUUUCUAAACAUUUAAUUUAAUUUUGUUUUUCAAGAUUUUAUUUUAUUGUAUUAUCUUAAUUGUUCAUUAUUAAUCUAACUUUAUUUUAUUCAUUAACUUUACUCCAUUUAUUUUAUAUUAAUUUAACU
RNAcentral lists this long non-coding RNA (1061 nucleotides) under Camarhynchus parvulus. RNAcentral describes it as "lncRNA (ENSCPVG00000018371.1)". The record is from RNAcentral. Lineage: Eukaryota; Metazoa; Chordata; Aves; Passeriformes; Thraupidae.